CUCCCCAGCUCACCCACCUCCUCUCCGGCCCACCUAUCACCCCCCCAGCUCACCCACCUCUUUGACAAUGAUGGCACGGUGGUGUUCGCCAUCUUCAUGGCUCUCUGGGCCACGGUGUUCCUGGAGAUCUGGAAGCGGCAGCGCGCCCGCGUGGUCCUGCACUGGGACCUGUACGUGUGGGACGAGGAACAGGUGAGGUGGAGCUGGCAGCGCAGCUGAGGCCGACCCGAGCAGGGGCUGUUGGCGCCCGAUGCCCUGCACGGCCCACAUAUGCCUGCCGUGUCUGAGGAGGAAAUGGCACUUCAGCUCAUUAACUGCCCCGACUACAAGCUCCGGCCAUACCAGCACUCCUACCUACGCAGCACCGUCAUCCUCGUCCUGACCCUGCUCAUGAUCUGCCUCAUGAUCGGCAUGGCCCACGUCCUGGUGGUCUACCGCGUCCUGGCCUCCGCGCUCUUCAGCAGCUCGGCCGUGUCCUUCCUGGAGGAGCGGGUGACCACGGCCGUGGUAGUGACCGGGGCUCUGGUGCACUAUGUGACCAUCGUCAUCAUGACCAAGGUGGGGCCGGGAGCAGGGCAGGCCCGAGCUGGGGGGUCCACCGGAGCCCCAGUGAGCCCAUUCGGUGCCCUCCUCCGCAGAUCAACAGGCGCGUGGCCCUGAAGCUUUGUGACUUCGAGAUGCCCAGGACCUUCUCGGAGCGAGAGAGCAGGUUCACCAUCCGCUUCUUCACGCUGCAGUUCUUCACCCAUUUCUCGUCUCUCAUCUACAUCGCCUUCAUCCUGGGCAGGAUCAACGGCCACCCCGGGAAGUCCACGCGCCUGGCGGGCUUGUGGAAGCUGGAAGAGUGCCACGCCAGCGGCUGCAUGAUGGACCUCUUCGUGCAGAUGGCCAUCAUCAUGGGCCUGAAGCAGACGCUCAGCAACUGCGUCGAGUACCUGGUCCCGUGGGUGACCCACAAGUGCCGCUCUCUGCGGGCCUCCGAGUCCGGGCACCUGCCCCGGGACCCCGAGCUCAGGGACUGGCGGCGCAACUACCUUCUGAACCCGGUCAACACCUUCAGCCUGUUCGACGAGUUCAUGGAGAUGAUGAUCCAGUACGGCUUCACCACCAUCUUCGUGGCUGCCUUCCCGCUGGCGCCGCUGCUCGCGCUCUUCAGCAACCUCGUGGAGAUCCGCCUGGACGCCAUCAAGAUGGUCUGGUUGCAGCGGCGCCUGGUGCCGCGCAAGGCCAAGGACAUCGGGACCUGGCUGCAGGUGCUGGAGACCAUCGGUGUGCUGGCGGUCAUUGCCAAUGGGAUGGUCAUUGCCUUCACAUCUGAGUUCAUCCCCCGAGUGGUCUACAAGUACCGCUAUAGCCCAUGCCUGAAAGAAGGCAACUCUACCGUCGACUGCCUCAAGGGCUACGUCAACCACAGCCUGUCCGUCUUCCACACCAAGGACUUCCAGGACCCUGAUGGGAUUGAGGGCUCAGAAAACGUGACUCUGUGCAGGUUUGGAACUCCCCAUCCCCCAAGAAUGCCCUCUGAACUCCUGACCCCUGACCUCAGGUACUUCCUUACCCCAGAUACAGGGACUACCGCAAUCCCCCCGAUUACAACUUCUCCGAGAAGUUCUGGUUCCUCCUGGCCAUCCGCCUGGCCUUCGUCAUCCUCUUUGAGCACGUGGCCUUGUGCAUCAAGCUCAUUGCCGCCUGGUUCGUGCCCGACAUCCCUCAGUCGGUGAAGAACAAGGUUCUGGAGGUGAAGUACCAGAGGCUGCGUGAGAAGAUGUGGCAUGGAAGGCAGAGGCUGGGCGGGGUGGGGGCAGGCUCUCGGCCCCCGAUGCCUGCCCAUCCCACCCCAGCAUCCAUCUUCAGUGCCAGGAGCACAGACGUGUAGGGCCAGAGCCCGUCCAGAGGCCACCAGGAGCUGACAGUGCCACCACCAGCACCUCCCACAAGCCCACCGCUGUGCGUGUUGAGGGGUGCCGUGAGAAGUCUGUGCCCAUGUGGGGCUGCAGGAGUCCCCUGUAUGUUCAGGGCUGUGAGCUGCCACCCUAUUCUGCCUGCUUCGUCUUUGUGGGGGCUCUCAGGCUUGGCACAGCCCUGACUUGAACUCUGGGUGACCCCGGGCACCCACAGAACUGGGAGUGAGGGCUCCUCAGGCAGCCACAAGGCAGGAAAACUGGCACAAGUUUCCUGGGCCUCCCUCUGACUUCUGGGCGCCAGAUCCUGCCGUGCCCCCAUCCUGGCUGUUGGGGGUGUCCUGAGCCCACCUCGCUGGCCUGUUCCCUUCAGCCAGCCCCAGUUUCUGUAAUAAAAUUAAACCUGUCUGU
Molecule: small RNA, 2312 nt
Filed under: Pan troglodytes (chimpanzee)
Lineage: Eukaryota; Metazoa; Chordata; Mammalia; Primates; Hominidae
Description: retained intron
Source: RNAcentral